RNAcentral lists this ribosomal RNA (441 nucleotides) under uncultured bacterium. RNAcentral describes it as "partial 16S ribosomal RNA". It matches the Rfam family "Bacterial small subunit ribosomal RNA", at positions 338 to 795 of the family's 1533-position model. The record is from RNAcentral.
CCUACGGGUGGCUGCAGUAGGGAAUAUUGCAAAAUGGGCGAAAGCCCGAUGCAGCAACGCCGCGUGCGCGAUGCAGGCCUUCGGGUCGUAAAGCGCUUUUCGAGGGGAUGAGGAAGGACAGUACCCUCGGAAUAAGUCUCGGCUAACUACGUGCCAGCAGCCGCGGUAAAACGUAGGAGGCGAGCGUUAUCCGGAUUUACUGGGCGUAAAGCGCGUGCAGGCGGCUUAGCAAGUUGGAUGUGAAAGCUCCCGGCUCAACUGGGAGAGGUCGUUCAAUACUGCUAAGCUAGAGGGUGGUAGAGGGAGGUGGAAUUCCGGGUGUAGUGGUGAAAUGCGUAGAUAUCCGGAGGAACACCAGUGGCGAAAGCGGCCUUCUGGACCAUUCCUGACGCUCAGACGCGAAAGCUAGGGUAGCAAACGGGAUUAGAUACCCCGGUAGUC